UACGAAGGGGGCUAGCGUUGCUCGGAAUCACUGGGCGUAAAGGGUGCGUAGGCGGGUCUUUAAGUCAGGGGUGAAAUCCUGGAGCUCAACUCCAGAACUGCCUUUGAUACUGAAGAUCUUGAGUUCGGGAGAGGUGAGUGGGACUGCGAGUGUAGAGGUGAAAUUCGUAGAUAUUCGCAAGAACACCAGUGGCGAAGGCGGCUCACUGGCCCGAUACUGACGCUGAUGCACGAAAGCGUGGGGAGCAAACAGG
Molecule: ribosomal RNA, 253 nt
Filed under: uncultured bacterium
Lineage: Bacteria
Description: partial 16S ribosomal RNA
Rfam family: Bacterial small subunit ribosomal RNA
Source: RNAcentral